Molecule: long non-coding RNA, 303 nt
Filed under: Citrus x clementina
Lineage: Eukaryota; Viridiplantae; Streptophyta; Magnoliopsida; Sapindales; Rutaceae
Description: Citrus clementina (C. clementina) long non-coding RNA (CCLE_LNC000107)
Source: RNAcentral
UUUAAUUAUUAAUACUAUGGGUAUUUUGGUAAAUUGAUUCUCAUUCUCAUUUCUCAUUCACAUUCCAGCCCAUUCUCAUUCCCAUUCCAUUCUCAUUCCACCACAUUCCCAUUCCACCACAUUCUCAUUCCCAUGAAGUAAACGCACCAUUAAUGUAACUACUCAACAACCCUAUCUCUCUUUGUAAUAGGAUAAAAGUACUUUUUUUUUGUUUUUGUUCUUUAUAUUUUGGGUUGUAAAAUAUAAUUAGUACAAAUGAAUUACUUAAAUGCCUAUAAUAAAUAUAAUUGUAGUACAAAAUUU